This 489-nucleotide ribosomal RNA is filed under the name Blastocystis sp. RNAcentral describes it as "SSU rRNA". It matches the Rfam family "Eukaryotic small subunit ribosomal RNA", at positions 460 to 953 of the family's 1831-position model. The record is from RNAcentral. Lineage: Eukaryota; Bigyra; Opalinata; Blastocystidae.
GGAGGUAGUGACAAUAAAUCUCAAUACGAAGCCUUUGGUUUUGUAAUUGAAUUGAGAACAAUGUACAAUCGUUAUCGAUAAACAAUUGGAGGGCAAGUCUGGUGCCAGCAGCCGCGGUAAUUCCAGCUCCAAUAGCGUAUAUUAACGUUGUUGCAGUUAAAAAGCUCGUAGUUGAAGUUUAGAUAAUUUAUUGAAAGUGUUUGUAUUCGUACAUUCUACUUUUAUGUAAGUUAUCGACAUCCAGGUGGGUGCCAUGGUUCCGCAAGGAACUGUGGUACUAGACUGGUCAUUUACUGUGAGAAAAUUAGAGUGUUUAAAGCGGACUGUUCAGUUUGAAUAGAUUAGCAUGGAAUAAUAAGAUUGGCUUUCAUAGUCGAUUUUUUGGUUUGUUUAUGAAAGCAAGAUUAAUAGGGACAGUUGGGGGUAUUCAUAUUCAAUAGCUAGAGGUGAAAUUCUAUGAUUUAUGGAAGAUGAACAAGUGCGAAAGCA